Long non-coding RNA from Magnolia sinica, 704 nucleotides. RefSeq lists it as uncharacterized. The transcript has 2 exons. The record is from RefSeq and is a predicted model, not a curated record. NCBI's taxonomy places the organism in Eukaryota, Viridiplantae, Streptophyta, Magnoliopsida, Magnoliales, Magnoliaceae.
CCGAAUCCUCUGCCUUCGGGAGGCAGAGAGUCUCUACCUCCCGCAAUAUCAUUGGUCCAUCUCACCGCGCCUGCCACGUAGGACUAGCAAAUCCGUUUCCGUUUCAUAUUAAAAAAAAAAAAAAAAAUCUCUCUGCCGUCUUCCCUAAUGGCAACGGCACCAUGAAAAAAUCUCUCCGUCGUCCUCCCUAACGGCAACGGCACCAUGAACGGCACUUUCCAUUUCCGGUUCGCGGUGAUUUUUUAGAGAUUUCUUCUCCCCUUGUUUCUAAUUUCAAUUUCUUUCCUUUUACAGAUGGAUUUCAUCAAAGUGGAAGAAAAAGAGAGGUUUUUUUUUUGAAGAUCGGAGGCCCUCUUUCCCCAAUCUCUCACAAUCCCUCUUGCCCAUUUUCCCUCAGGCAGCCGAUAGCCGAUUUCUGCUAUUUCGUCUAUUCAUCCAUCGAAGAUCCACCCCACCUCACAGGCUCGUCGGUUGAUGACAAUUCGCAUGGAGUAUAAUGGCUAUAUGGAGCUCUUUCUGCUAAUAUGUGGUUGGGGAUGAUCUCCUCAGGAGUUUUUUUAUUUUCUUUUUUUCUUUUUUUUUAAGGUCCAAUGAAUGCAAUUGUUGCAUGGUAGCCUAUUAAAAAUAACAAUUUAGAUUGUUCAAUUGGAGUAUCCAAGUUAUGGAUUGGAUCAUCCUAUCAAUAUAGGCUUCUAUUUUUUUUU